AGAAUCAACGCUGGCGGCGUGCCUAACACAUGCAAGUCGAACGAGAAAGUGGUAGCAAUACCAUGAGUAAAGUGGCGCACGGGUGAGUAACACGUGACUAACCUACCCUGGAGUGGGGGAUAACUGAGGGAAACCUUAGCUAAUACCGCAUAAUACCUACGGGUCAAAGGAGCAAUUCGCUUCAGGAGGGGGUCGCGGCCGAUUAGUUAGUUGGCGGGGUAAUGGCCCACCAAGACGAUGAUCGGUAUCCGGCCUGAGAGGGCGCACGGACACACUGGAACUGAAACACGGUCCAGACUCCUACGGGAGGCAGCAGUGGGGAAUUUUGCGCAAUGGGGGAAACCCUGACGCAGCAACGCCGCGUGGAGGAUGAAGUCCCUCGGGACGUAAACUCCUUUCGAUCGGGACGAUAAUGACGGUACCGAGAGAAGAAGCCCCGGCUAACUUCGUGCCAGCAGCCGC
This 462-nucleotide ribosomal RNA is filed under the name uncultured bacterium. Its description in RNAcentral is "SSU rRNA". It matches the Rfam family "Bacterial small subunit ribosomal RNA", at positions 26 to 518 of the family's 1533-position model. The record is from RNAcentral.